Molecule: long non-coding RNA, 2935 nt
Organism: Nymphaea colorata (pocket water lily)
Lineage: Eukaryota; Viridiplantae; Streptophyta; Magnoliopsida; Nymphaeales; Nymphaeaceae
Exons: 2
Source: RefSeq, a predicted model, not a curated record
UUUUUGCGGCGGAAAAAUCCAUCCUCCCCUGGGAUUCUGCCAUUCUUGUUGCUUUCGUCGCCGUCGGGGUGGGAGAACUGCCGCUAUAUCUCCGCCUCUGGGUUUCUUCGGCUUUGGGUCUCGCCCCGCCUACCACAGCUUCUGGAGAAUUGCCGUCAGCGUCGCCGGCGCUCCGAUGAAAAGUUUAUGUAUUGGAAAUUUUGAGAAAGAGGGCCCAAGUUCACCGAUUUUCGCCACCGCCCUGUAAAGUAUUACCUUCUAAAACGACAGGCAGACUGCAUGGGUGCACAGAAGAAGACGGGCUACAACAAAAUGGGCACCUGCACUAUCAACUCCCCUCGUGGCGACGGAUGAAAAGAAGAAUGGAGGAGGAGGACGCAGACAGAAGGUGUUGGGUAGUGGUAGUGGCCAUGAGCCCUACCCAUUCAUAUCGUAACUGCAAGGGGGCCCACUUGCAGUUACGAGCUUUAAUGCUCACCUAAAAUCUCUCACUCACCCAACCGCUAGGGUUGGGAAAAACCUAAGGGGCUGGACUAUCGAUUCCUAGUAUAUCCAGAGAGUUUGAUGAAUCUCUCUCUAACACAUCAACCUGUGAGAGGCCCCUUGAAAGUAAACCCCAAAAAUCUCUCUCUCUCUAGUUUUCUUUCUUUCUUCUUUCUUGCUCGCAGAGUUGCAGGCCAAACUUGGUUGGAGAUCCUGGGCGGAACCUAAAGUUCCUACAGUGGUAUCAGAGCCUCAGGUUCUUCUAAUUUCUGUAAGUCCCUUCAGACUUCUGUGACGCCUAUGAUUACCUAUGUAUAUAUCAUGCUGUGAAUGCCUAAGUGUGUAUCAAGCUGUAUAUCGAAUCAUGUUUUGUGAAUGUGCAAAGCAUGCUAGUACUUAAAAGGAAGACGCUGUAAUAAGAACAGAUAGCAGAGGGUUUGGACAGAGAAUGCAUAAAUCAGAGGACUUCGUUUUUUUUUUUUCGUCGACCUCUUUGUUUUUCCAAUGACCGAGCAUGUGGAGAACGCCUUCACCAGCAGGAAAGGGCAAGCAUCCUUUUUUUUAGUUCUGUCUCAGAUAAGAAACACCGAGCGAGAAGGAAGGCUGCACACCCUCCCUGCUGACCGCCUGACGGCCGCCCUUCCUCUCCUUCAUCACGGAAGAGGAGGGGCGACGGCCUGUUUCCUUUCUUCUGAUUAAAAAAAAAAAAUCACAAAAAAAAAAGGGGGAAAGGCCACCACCAUGGCCGGCGGUGGCCCUUUCACUUACGGGAGUAGUGGCUGCCGGCAAGGGAAAGGGAUGAGCAGAGGGAGCAGAGUGCGGGUCCUCUGAGAACGAACAGAGGGGUUUCAUUUGCUCGCUGCUCGCCGGAAGAAUCAGGGUUGUUCUCUGAAGUGGCACGAGCAUCUCCUCGCGAUAAUGGUGGAAAUUGGCCGGAGGCGGCAGUUGAAACCGUCGGUCAGCCGGACGCGGUGGAGGUGCGGCGGGUGAAACCCCAGCAAAUGGUUCUCGCGAGAGGAGAGAGUGUAUCGAGCGAGAAAAAUGGGGAAAACUCGUUCAGAGGGGUAUUUAUACAAAAAAUUUUGAAAUUACGAAUUUGGUCCACACAUUUCUCAUAAUGUUCAGAAACACUGUCAUAUUUUGUAAAUAUUAGUUCCGCUGCCAUUUUUGCUGAAAGUCUUUUCAGAAAAAGGCUUGUGAAAGCUUAUUUCUGUGGAAACCUAGAAUUUUAUACGAAAUUCCGUAAUGAUACCCUCAGAGUUAUUCUAAAUUUCUGAAAGAAGGUUCCAGAAAUUGUUUUGCAUUUCAGAUGUAAACAGAGAUUUUGUAUAAUUGUAUAUAGGUUCCCUCAAGCUGAUCAAAAAUUGCAGCAAAAGGGUUCCAAACGGUUUAAAAUUUAAUAUUGAGUUUUGAUUGUUUUAAGUGAUACCUUAAAAUGGUAUUAAAGAUCUUCUCCCUGUUGCUUUCCAUGUAUCGUUGUUAUAUAUUUGUUAUGGAAUUAACUUAGAAAUGACUUCAAGAGUGGGAGCUUCGAAAUGGUGAAAACUGAAAAUGGUUAGCAACAUGUUUGUGUGCUUAUGCAAUUUUGUUACUUUGUGUGUGCAUGACCCAAUGGCGCUAUAAAUGUUGUGUCGUAUUUGGAUAUGGAUAUUAUGUUGAAACAUGUUUAUAUUGAAUUUGAAUUUGGAUCCUCUUGUUGAUAUUAUUGUAUGUGGAUCCACAUGAGUAAGAUCUGAAUUUAAAUAAUUAUUUGGAUUUUUGCUUUGGAUCUGAUUGUUGCUUAAGAUCCAUAUUUGUAUUCAGUUUGAAUCAUGAUCUAAAUUUGUUUGGAUAUUGGUUAAAAAUACAUAUCCUGUUUAUGUUGGUUCAAGUUUAUGUUAUUAUACUUGAUUUAUGAAUAUUCAUCUUAAUUUUGGGUCUAUGCAGAUAUUAGAUAUGACCAAAACUUUUGUUUUCAAAAUCCAUAUUCAGUUGACACUAAACAUUGCACUCUUUUAGAGCAUGAUCUGAUUUGACUUGUUCAAGAUCUAUAUUAGAUCUAAACAUAUUAUGAUGAGCUUUGAUUUUUAGAUCUAAUGGUUUUACAAGUUGUACUUUUGCAAUGUGUAACACUAGAGUGCUAAAGAUGAAUUCCAGUUAAAAGGAAUGAUUAUGUUAUCACAUGUUGAUAUGCUAAGAGGUGUAAAUCAACACUCUUAGACAUGGUGAGAUCCUUAUAACAUUAUGUUGGGUCGUGAUACAUUAAGAUCCAAAUUAACUUAGCUGAAUCAUUGGAUCCAAAUUCUCGUACUGUUACUAAACACAAUAUAUCAUGUUUGCUUUUGGAUCCAAUGAGUGAUAUUUGUUGUCCUUUUAGAUUCAAAUCAUUCUAGAGUGCUAUUGAACAAUGCUUUAUUUACUCCAUUAAUGAGGUGAACUUGUUUAAAAAUAUAUAUUCAAGAGGUAUAAUGUA